RNAcentral lists this long non-coding RNA (702 nucleotides) under Gallus gallus (chicken). RNAcentral describes it as "long non-coding RNA NONGGAT012049". The record is from RNAcentral. Lineage: Eukaryota; Metazoa; Chordata; Aves; Galliformes; Phasianidae.
ACUGAGGCAAUCAGCACUUGAUUGCCAUGCCAGGGUUGGUGGGGAAGGCGGCUGAAGGCAGGAUGGAGGACAGGAGACCAUGCUACCAACAGCUGGAAACCCCCAGAAAGGCCGUCAGGAUUCUAGAGUGUAAGAAACCAGAUCGGAGAAACUGUAGCAGCCACAUCGCUGGCAACGUGCAGGACCAUCCUGAAGCUGCCCAGCUCCUCCAUCACCAUGCGAACCGAAGCUCCCUCCACUCCGUCCCGACUCGGGCUGCCUGCUCCAGCCAGCCGUUCCCGGACAGCCCGGGCACCGUACGCUGCCUGCCGGGGCCCCUCAGGCAGCCCGUCGCCAUCUUCCCGGGUCGCCCCACACCGCCAUCUUCCUUCAGGCAGCAGGGAGCCAGGGGGAGGCAAUGUGUUGUGCAAAUCUGCCAUCUGCUGGUGAUCGGAUGCUUCAUGAAGCUGUCCUGACUUCAAAUUAGUGGAUAUCCCCCUCUCUGUCACCCCCUCCCAAAAAAGGAAGAAGAAAAGGUGUCAGUGUUGAGAUACAAGCUCUUCCACAUAAUGGAAGUGUUUUCCACAGUCUGUCCUCAUUUUCAACCUGAAGCUAUGCUGUAGCACUAGGGAGAAAAAAACAACCAAUCACAUCUUCACCCCAUGUUGGAGCUCCUCUCUGCAGCCCUGCAUCUCCAGAUCUAAGACAAACUGACUAUUUCAG